RNAcentral lists this transfer RNA (72 nucleotides) under Oopsacas minuta. RNAcentral describes it as "tRNA-Phe". It matches the Rfam family "tRNA". From Rfam's summary of the family: Transfer RNA (tRNA) molecules are approximately 80 nucleotides in length. Lineage: Eukaryota; Metazoa; Porifera; Hexactinellida; Lyssacinosida; Leucopsacidae. The record is from RNAcentral.
GUCUCAGAAACUCAACAACAGAGUAUUAUUUUGAAAAAAUACCGGCUGCAGGUUUAAAUCCUGUCUAGGACA